Molecule: non-coding RNA, 1551 nt
Organism: Zonotrichia albicollis (white-throated sparrow)
Lineage: Eukaryota; Metazoa; Chordata; Aves; Passeriformes; Passerellidae
Source: RefSeq, a predicted model, not a curated record
UUGAAGCUGUUGCAUUUACUGUCAAUUAACAGGACUUAAAAUUUGUGACAGAAAUUUUGGCUGGAAGGAAUGUCUGGAGGUCAUCAGGUCCAACCUCCUGAAGCAGCACUGCCAUUUUACCACGUUAGGUAUGGCUUUGUCCAGCUAAGUCUUACAAACCUCCAAGGACAGAGGUCCCACAACCUCCCUGAGUACCCUGCAUUAUCCCUGACAAAAACUGGAAGUUUUUUCUAAGAUCCAUCCCAGCCACAAUCUUUGAAUGUUCCUCCUUGCUGGCAAUACCAGAAUUUUGUCUUGUUUCAUUUGUGUAAAUACCCCAAAAAUAGUUGUAGACUAUUAUUGAAUCAUCCCUUAGUCUCUUUAUCAGAUUAAACAAGAUUAAACAAUUCAAUUCUCUCAACUGCCACUUUUUCCUUAAGGCUCCUGACCAUUUUAACAGUUCUCUGCUGCUCUCUCUCCAGUUUUUAUCAUCCAUCUCAUACUGGAAGACCAAAAAAGGACACAAUAUUCCAGUUGAAGCUUUACCAGACAGUGAUUUAACCCAAUUUUCCAGGGCCAUGCAGCACACCUGUAGUUUCUGCACUGUUCCUUCUCUUUCCCACCAACUCAAUGCUCUCUGGACAUGCAGCUUUUAAAUUUUUUUCCUUUUGUUACCUCUGAGAGUUUGUCUGGCUACGGUUUGGGGGAAACAGAUGCUUUGAUGCUUUGCUAUUGAUGUAAACUGUGGAGGUGGCCACAAAGUCACCUCUGCAGAGGCACACCUACUCUUGAUAGACACAGUCAAAAAUGUUGGUGUUGGGCAGAAGUUGAAAUAAAAAAGCACAUAUGUACACCUUCUAUGAGAUGCGCAUUCACUGAAACUCCCCAGAGGGGUGUGGUUACUGCAAGAAAAAUAAACUUUAGUUCAAGGUUGUUUCUGAACUUGCUGUUGCUAUUUGUUGCAAAUCCAAGAAAGAUUGCUUGGUAGCAAUCCUCUCACUUGUGCUUCUGCUGCAGAUUCUCAAAGACCUGUCUGGAUGAAGCCUCCUAUAUCUGAACUUACCAUGUACAUUUUCUUAACAGCUGGAGAAGGAAAACAAGAGUUUCCAGAAGGUGGUUCAGCUGGAUGACAUCCCAGAGUCACCCACUGACAGUUCCUUUCUCUCUCCCUUCAAUACAAGAGGAGCACAGAAAAGGAGCACAGGUGUCUCCUUUGGACACAUGGGAUCUGUCCAGCCCGAAGGGAAACUACAGCCUGAAGAGCUCCUCUCCAGUUUUCUAGUUCAGCACCGUGGUCUCUGGCCUCAGACAUCUCUGCACCACUGAAAGCUCUGUAGAACACUUGAGAGUUUUGCCAGCACCUACAUAGGAGUGCUGCCUGUAUGGGGUUUGUGUGGAUUGCUGCCCAGCAGUUAAUGCACAGGCAUGCAGAAAACUCAAGAAAAGGCUAUUGAGAAAAGCCAGUGGGUUGCAGUAAGAAAGAUUCAAAUCUGCAUGGCAAUGCCUUGGAAUAAUGUUUACAUGCCAGCAAAGACAACACCUUCACUAGCUUGACUUGAAUUUCUUCAAAAA